AUGGUUGGACAAUGUUCUCGAAGCUAUGAACAUGAGUUUGACCAAACUGCGGGAGGCAGUGGAAGACAGGAGUGCCUGGCACUGUGGUAUGGAAAUCAGGAGCAAUAGUUUCUAGCUGUUUAAUCUGCAUCGGUGAGUUGCAGUUGUCAGCUAUUUAACUGCCCACUAUAGCUAUGCCUAUAACAUCAGCUUGAUGUGCAGACAUCAGCUGAUAAGUGUUGAUGCUGUGAAAAGCUUAACAAUUUCUGUACAUCAAACUGCUGCAGGGGGCACAAGACAAUUUUAGCUUUGAUAAGGUUAUGAAGAAUAUGCAGCCUGUUCUUGGUGGCGUCUGUGGCAAGACUUCUGGGCUUUUCUAAUACUGCAGGAUUUGUUUGUGCUUUCCUUGCAACAGGUUUUCUAGCACAUUCAAGCUAGAUAUAAACCCCUUUGGGAAAGCAACAGUGAAUUGAUGCAGCGGCUACACAGGGGUGCGGGGAACCGAUCUUUUUCGUUUAGUGAGAAUUGAUCGCCGGUAUUUAGCUGCGAAAGGCGUGUGCUUUCGGGAGGCGUCUGUGGAAAAUGUGACAGUGAAGAGACCCUGACUCCGCUCAAGACGACUGCAACCGUUGAAUUGGAGGGGAGGGCGAGAUGGGCUGAGGAGUGGGCAGAGCUCACAGGCGCGAUGGCUGCAGCCUGCUGCGCCCACCCACGGUGAGUGACAGGUGACAGGCAGAGCCCCUAUAUAUGCUGCCGAGGGCACCCGUGCACAAUCCUCGCUGCCAUGGAAGACACGUUCAACCCGGACAGCCUUGCCGUCGGACCCAACUUAUCCGGCAUUGCGAUUCCCGGGUGGAACUUGAACCUUUCGUCCCCCGGGGCUACUCUGGGGCAGCCUAGCGCGCGGACCCUGUCGGCGGGCGCGAUCCUGCUGCUGGCGCUGGUGGGCAACGGCUUGCUCUUGCACCGGCUGCGCUGCGGAGGGUGUUGCUGCGGGGCCCGCUUCGGACGGCGGCGCAAGAUGGAUUUCCUGCUGGCGCACUUGGCCAUCGCCGACCUCUACGGGUGCGGGCUGGUGCUGCUCUCCCAGCUUCCGCCGGCCGACGUGGAGCCGGGGCAAGCGGCGUGGCCUGCAGGGGACGCCACUUGCCGCCUGCUGUGGCUCCUGCAAGGCUCCGGGCUGCUGGCGCCCUCGCACAUGCUCGUCCUGAUCGCGAUCGAGCGACACCACAUGGUGAGGGGCCCCGCGCACCCGCCGCUCUCUUUCCUGCCUGCCCGGGGCGCUUUGGCUGCGCUGGGCUGGCUGCUGGCGCUGCUGCUCGCCUUGCCGCAAGCCUUCGUCUAUCGGCUGGCGCCUCCCGAGGCCGGGGGCCGUUGCCUCAGCAUCUUCGCGCAGCGGCCCCGCUGGCACGGCCAGACCUACGCCGUGUACUGGGCCGUCGCGGGCUUCGUGGCGCCCGCCUGCCUGCUGGGCGGGACCUGCGGCCGCAUCCUCAGCGCGCUCGGCGGCGCACCCGGCGCCAAGGACGACUACGACGACGCCGAGCCGUCGCGGGGGGCAGCGGGCAGCGGCCGCCACUACGGCGCGGAGCUUCCCGGCGCCUCCGCCGCUCCUCGCCCGCCUCCGCCGCUCUUGCUGCGGCUCCUGCCCGUCGCCAAGUGCGCGCUGCCCUCGCCGCCCGCGCCGCGGAGCCUGCCCCGCGCGCGGGCCCGGGCGGUGCAGCUGACGCUGGCGCUGGCCACGCUGUUCGCGCUCUGCGGCUUCCCGCGCUUUCUCCUGGAGCUCGCCUUGGCCUUCGCCUCCUCCGAGGGCGCCGACGAAGCGCGGGCGGCCCUGGGGAGCAUCAUGGCGGCCACCAACAGCGCCCUCAACCCCUACGUGUGCCUCUUGUUCCACAGCCACGGCCCGUGGGCGCGGCGCCUCCAGCGCAGGCUGUGCCGCUGCCCCGACGGGCAGCCCCGACGGCGGGCUCGCCACCGACAUCGCCCGCCGCCGCCGCAAGCGGCUGCCGAGCGCCCUGGACGCUGGCUGUGCCCUUGCCAGACCAAGCCGCCCACCGUCUCCACGGUCGUCCACCUCGAGGAGGGUGAGAAGCCGUUGUCCGCCGCUUGCGAAAGCGGCUUCUAAACAGUUUCUUGUGUGAUUGCAGGCACCGAACUUUUUUUGCAGUAUCCCCAGGACAUUGUCAACAAGUAUUUUUGACUCAUUUAACCCGGAUAUUCCUGGGGAAAUCCGACGUUUAACACCUACACACUCCACGACCUCUGUUAUCGCAAUCUCAGCAGCCGAUUUGCCAUAUCUGGCCUGGGAAGUACCCAAGGAGGAAGACAAAAAGGCAAAAGAGAACUAACAAAUUAUUAUAACACCCACCUCAAGCACACUAGGUGCUCUUUUCCUGUGGGCUGCUCACUUGCUCAAAUCUGGGAGACUCCCAUCUUAACACCGGAAGUCUGAGGGCUACUGCCUACUCCAGUGUGGAAAACGCACUCUGCACUUGCUCAAGAACCUUAAUUAAUACUUCACACUUCACAGCGCUGACCCAUUGCUGAAAUUUGGCUGUGAAUCUGGAGCCCUUGUGACCCUUGGUUAGUUUAAUCGAUUAUGAAGCCAUGACCCUCUUUCAAAUCAAGGAAACCCAGAAGGGCCAGGAGAUUCCACUUGACCAUUUCAGAUCUGGCUGCUAUUUUAAGCCCUUGCUGGGAAUGUAGGGACUUGUUUCCAAGUAAAUGGGCUUAGCUUGGACAUAGUAACAGCCAAAUGUUUUAAACUUCCUAAAGUUUUGUUCAAUUCAUUGCACUCCAUAACUUAUGACGGGACUUGCACAAUGUGGUUUUAGCACAAUCAUUUUGUUAGGUUUGUCAACAACGGGGUUCUGCAUAAUCUGUUGCUUUCACCCAUCACAGCAAUUUUCAGGAAGGAAGAACCAGGAGAGAACAUAUGGAGAAUGAGAGCACAGGAAGGACGGUGAUUUAAAAAUACAAACUUCAAGAAGAGAGAGGGGGGAAUUAAGACAGUUGGAACAAGAAGGUAGGGGCUGAGAUUUGUUUAAGAGACUGUGUGACUCAUUCAUUAGUAAUGUUAAACUAAAGUCUCUAGUUAGAAUAUAGGGUUUGAACUGAAAGUACUAUUUUCCAGCAGUGUAGAAAUCCCCAACUUCUUGGCGACCUUUCAGUGAUUCCUUCAUAAGAGCUCACCUAUUCAGAAGGCUUUGCCCUCACCUCUGAAUUGACCCAAUUUUCCUUCCGUAAUACAGUACUGUCAUGUCAAAUACAGUUAACUAUGAAGCAUGGCCAUCUUAUCAUGUUCACAGUGUGAUUCCCAAUUGGUUGGGAUCGCCCAUGUGACCGGUCUAGGAAGUAUCAUCCUCACACUCAUUAAUUUUAUGCUGCUGCACUUCCAUAAAACUGUACCAUGUGCCUUCAGACAAUGCCAGGGCAAGCAAAUUAGCUUUGUUUCUCUCAGUAAAAUCAAAUUGGCUAUGCAAUAUUACAAGAUCCUAUUUACUAAAUGACCCCUAGACAACUGAAUACAUUUUUGUUCCAAUGAACUUUCCCAGUUGGAUAAAUUGUUCUUUACUGUGGGUGUCUACUUUGCUAGGGUUUCAGUACUGUCUUUAUGUAUUUGCUGUUUUGGUGUUUUUAAGUGUUGUUAAUACUCUUAUGUGUAAAUGGUUGUUCAGAAGGCAAUGAAUAAAUCAAAGAUGAUGACGAUAAUAGGUGGGAUAACUCAUGUCACUGAUCCAGGUAGCAAUGAUCCCAGUUUCACAUUGAUUUCUUGUCCUCAGCGAUGUCACAUAGCUAAAUCUAACAAGUUUCUUAGUGCCUUGACAACAUUCAGGUCACUAUGUGGCCUGUGAUUAGUCUAGGAUUGCCUGUGUGAUUAAGUCUAGGAAGAAGAAGCAAUACUCAGAAAUUUGGUGGGAAGGAAAUCAAGCUGCAGCAGACAGAACAACCAACAGCAACAAACAUGACUGUAAAAAGGCAAAUAUUCCCACAAUU
Molecule: non-coding RNA, 3978 nt
Organism: Podarcis muralis (Common wall lizard)
Lineage: Eukaryota; Metazoa; Chordata; Lepidosauria; Squamata; Lacertidae
Source: RefSeq, a predicted model, not a curated record